CGGGGUGUAGUAUAAUGGCAUUACGCGGGCAUCGGGAGCCUGUAACCCGGGUUCAACUCCCGGCACCCCGACCA
Molecule: transfer RNA, 74 nt
Filed under: Candidatus Nealsoniibacteriota bacterium
Lineage: Bacteria; Candidatus Nealsoniibacteriota
Description: Candidatus Nealsonbacteria bacterium tRNA-Pro
Rfam family: tRNA
About the family: Transfer RNA (tRNA) molecules are approximately 80 nucleotides in length. Their secondary structure includes four short double-helical elements and three loops (D, anti-codon, and T loops).
Source: RNAcentral